GCCGGGCCGGGCGGCGGGUGCUGGAGUACCAGGCUCAGGAGGAGAGGCGUCUAGGGAGGUGUCCACUCGUAAACUAGCAGUUUGCCGGACCGCGUUUGCUGAUCCACUGUGAAAUCCCUGCGCCGCUUUUACAUUACAGUGCCCAGGACAGCAGCUAAGCUGUUUAGGGGUCAAAAUGUUUUCUACUGGCAAGUUAUCAUAGCAAGUGUCACUUGUUGCCACUGGACUCCAUCCUGCAAAGGGACAUUUAUCUGUGUCGUACAAAAUCAUAACUAGUAUUCAAACCAACAACUGUGAUAAAAUGCAACUAUUUUGGC
Molecule: long non-coding RNA, 317 nt
Filed under: Cavia porcellus (domestic guinea pig)
Lineage: Eukaryota; Metazoa; Chordata; Mammalia; Rodentia; Caviidae
Description: lncRNA (ENSCPOG00000034844.1)
Source: RNAcentral